Molecule: transfer RNA, 93 nt
Organism: Exidia glandulosa HHB12029
Lineage: Eukaryota; Fungi; Basidiomycota; Agaricomycetes; Auriculariales; Exidiaceae
Rfam family: tRNA
About the family: Transfer RNA (tRNA) molecules are approximately 80 nucleotides in length. Their secondary structure includes four short double-helical elements and three loops (D, anti-codon, and T loops).
Source: Rfam
GGCCGCCUGGCGAAAUGGCAUCGCGUCUGACUACGAUAUCAGCACUAGCUGGUUGCGAUCAGGAGAUUGCAGGUUCGAUCCCUGCGGUGGUCA